Long non-coding RNA from Passer domesticus (house sparrow), 2411 nucleotides. RefSeq lists it as uncharacterized. The transcript is spliced from 5 exons. NCBI's taxonomy places the organism in Eukaryota, Metazoa, Chordata, Aves, Passeriformes, Passeridae. The record is from RefSeq and is a predicted model, not a curated record.
UGUCAUAUCUGAAAUGUAUUUUCUAAGUGGAUGAGUAGCAUUUUCUAUUCAAACAUGUUCUAAUGCUUGCUCAUUCACUCUCUAACUCUGACAUACCAGUCAGAGUUACAGCCACAGUCUGUGCCUGGUGUUAUGGAGGUGGGGGAAAGCGAUGCUUGUUCCAGUUGGCCAAGAGUCUGAGUUCUCACAGCUGAAGGAUUAAGGCUAGUAGAGAUCUCAGCUGCAGAAAGCUGGCCCACCUUGUGCCAGAGAAAUGCUAGAGAACAAUCAGAUCACAGAAUAUUCUGAGUUGGAAGGGAUCUGCAAGGAUCAUCAAGUCCAACUCCUGAGGGAAUGGCCUGUAUGGAAAUCAAACCUGUGACCUCCUCAGCAUUAUUAGCACUAUGCUCUAACCAUUAAUUUGGAGGAAACUCUUUUGAAACUGCCCUUCUUCACGCACAGAGGAUGAUAUAUCAGGAUUACAAUAUAUAUUAAACAUCCUGCAGUGAGAGUUCUGCUUGUAACAAAUACAAGUGAAUGCCAUUGUGUUUUUUUUUCCUUGCAGUUUUCAUGAGCUAGUAAAGAGGAAUUUGGCUGUAAAAUACUCCCUAUCCCUUAAGGAAACAAAUCCUGAAAGUUUCUGGAACUGUUUUUAAAUGUCAGGUUUUGAAAAAACCCAUAAACAAACCACUUAUCUUUACGUCUUUAGUAUAAAUUUACUGGCUUGAUUUACUGUAUUUGUUUCCUGUGAAAAAUUCCCUAGGCAUAUAUGCUCCCAUGGCCUGAUUUGGGAAUUUUUAAACACAGUUUUGAUGUGUACAGAGGGAGCAGAUACCAAGGCAGGCUUUGGUUGUUAUGCUGAACAAGAAUAAGUGAUCAUAAUCAGCUCUCAGUGAGACCUUUAUAUGAUGGUAGGACUGUGUUUAAACAAAUUAAGAUGAAAUGAGUCUGUCUGAUAUUACAGUACAUGUAAAUUGCUAAUUGGAGAUAUGUCACAGGAGCUGCCUCUUUGGUGAAGAUUUGGGUUAGGGCUUGUUUUGUCUGUAUGUCAUGUUAAAUUCCUGUGGUGUUGAUGGAUCUGAUACUUUCUGCAUUGCAACAGAGUUGCAGGGUUGAUUGGAGUACAGUUGAUUAGCCUGAAGUUGAAGUGUGGCUGUGGCUGAAUUUGGAUAUUCCCAGUGAGAGUUGUAUAUACAAUUACUGGCUGGUAUGUUACUGAGCUUAAAAAUUGUCUUCCAGCCUUCCCUGUGUUUCUGAUUCCAGUGAUAAGAUUCCAGCCUGCAGGGUUACUAACCCAACAGAAAGCAGAUUAUCUUGUGGCUUUACUUCCAGUCCUGUAAAACACCCACACUCCAAAAACAAAAUAAUAGGAACUAGGAGCCAUAAUAGCUAGACAGGAAAUCAUUGCUUUAAAAUUAUUCUCAGAGACUUCUUUUGCAGUUUUGUCUGUAUCACAAUGAAGCUUUGGUUUCAGCUCUAUUUCAAGCUAGUUUACUAAGGAGCUCGAAAUGGCUCUGGUAACAUGGACCUUUUAUAUGCAGAAAUGAGUUUGGGUAUGGACAUGAAUCAUGGGAGAAGGGUCUGACACAAGCCGAGCUGUGCUGAAUAGAUAUUCAGGACUGGUCUAGUGAAAGGUGUCCCUGCCCAGGGCAGGGGGGCUGGAACUAGAUGAUGUUUAAGGUCCCUUCCAUCCCUGGCCAUUCUAUGAUUCUAUGAUGAUUCUAUGGUUCUUGGAUUCUGUCAUGGUUCUAUGAGUCUAUGAUACUACACCAACAAUCUGGAUGCAGAUGUGAGAUGUGACUAAUGUGAAGGGCUGAGGAAGGACUGGAGCUUGGGUACUGCAGGUCACAGGCAGACACUUCAAAAACUGGUGCAUGAAAAUCUUCUGUAAUGCUCACCUGAGUUCAUCUUGUGCCCACAAACAGUCCCUCACUUUCUGAAGAACUGUGAUAUUGAAUGCAUUUCAAACAGGAAAGAGGUCAACAGAAAAGGAAAUUGCUUGUGGUACAGUAACUUCUUUAGUGGAAAUGUGAUCCUUUGUCUUCUCCGUUAGGCAUUUCUUGUGGGUGCCUCCUUGCUCUCCCCUGCUGCCAGUAUGCUGCCUGAUAUUCAAAACAUGACACAGAACAUUCAGAGAGAGAAAAACCUUCAACUGAAGCUGCUUAUUAAUACAAAGAGAAAGCACAACAUACAGCAAUGCACUUUACACCACAUCUUCAAGAUCCCGAGAAGCCUAAAUACCAAGUUCAGUCUCUGUAACUCACUGACUCAUCAGUCUUUUGGGCUCACCAAACUUCAAAUUAAAGCCAUUGGUUGUAUGCAGAGGAUACUUCUCCAUCAGCACCAUGGUAACGUCACAUCUAUUGAAGUGCAUGUCAGACCAGAGCUGAUUUAAUGUAGCAGGCUGAUAAGGACAUUUUUCUUUGCUACAG